This 454-nucleotide ribosomal RNA is filed under the name uncultured bacterium. RNAcentral's name for it is "partial 16S ribosomal RNA". It matches the Rfam family "Bacterial small subunit ribosomal RNA", at positions 28 to 507 of the family's 1533-position model. The record is from RNAcentral.
GAUGAACGCUGACAGCAUGCUUAACACAUGCAAGUCAACUUGAACUUCGGUUUGGGUGGCGGACGGGUGAGUCACGCGUAAAGAACUUGCCUCACAGCUAGGGACAACAUUUGGAAACGAAUGCUAAUACCUGAUAUUAUGAUUUUAGGGCAUCCUAGAAUUAUGAAAGCUAUAUGCGCUGUGAGAGAGCUUUGCGUCCCAUUAGCUAGUUGGAGAGGUAACGGCUCACCAAGGCGAUGAUGGGUAGCCGGCCUGAGAGGGUGAACGGCCACAAGGGGACUGGGAAAGGGCCCUUACGCCUACGGGAGGCAGCAGUGGGGAAUAUUGGAAAAUGGACCAAGAGUCUGAUCCAGCAAUUCUGUGUGUACGAUGAAGUUUUUCGGAAUGUAAAGUGCUUUGAGUUGGGAAGAAAAAAAUGACGGUACCAACAGAAGAAGUGACGGCUAAAUACGUG